ACCCCGUGAACCUUUACUGUAGCUUUGCAUUGGACUUUGAACAGGCUUGUGUAGGAUAGGUGGGAGGCUUUGAAGCUGAGACGCUAGUUUCAGUGGAGCCGUCCUUGAAAUACCACCCUGGUGUGUUUGAGGUUCUAACCUGGGUCCAUUAUCUGGAUCGGGGACCGUGCAUGGUAGGCAGUUUGACUGGGGCGGUCUCCUCCCAAAGUGUAACGGAGGAGUUCGAAGGUUACCUAGGUACGGUCGGACAUCGUACUGAUAGUGCAAUGGCAAAAGGUAGCUUGACUGCGAGACCGACA
Molecule: ribosomal RNA, 299 nt
Filed under: Laribacter hongkongensis
Lineage: Bacteria; Pseudomonadati; Pseudomonadota; Betaproteobacteria; Neisseriales; Aquaspirillaceae
Description: partial 23S ribosomal RNA
Rfam family: Bacterial large subunit ribosomal RNA
Source: RNAcentral